Molecule: ribosomal RNA, 793 nt
Filed under: uncultured bacterium
Lineage: Bacteria
Description: bacterial SSU rRNA
Rfam family: Bacterial small subunit ribosomal RNA
Source: RNAcentral
AGAGUUUGAUCAUGGCUCAGGAUGAACGCUAGCGGCAGGUUUAAUACAUGCAAGUCGUGGGGCAGCGCGGGUAGCAAUACCUGGCGGCGACCGGCAAACGGGUGCGGAACACGUACGCAACCUUCCUUCAAGUGGGGAAUAGCCCAGGGAAACUUGGAUUAAUACCCCGUAAUACUAUGAGGUGGCAUCACCUUAUACUUAUAGCUCCGGCGCUUGAAGAUGGGCGUGCGCCUGAUUAGGUAGUUGGCGGGGUAACGGCCCACCAAGCCUACGAUCAGUAACUGGUGUGAGAGCACGACCAGUCACACGGGCACUGAGACACGGGCCCGACUCCUACGGGAGGCAGCAGUAAGGAAUAUUGGGCAAUGGACGCAAGUCUGACCCAGCCAUGCCGCGUGGAGGAUGAAGGUCCUCUGGAUUGUAAACUUCUUUUAUCUGGGAAGAAACCCAUGAUUUCUAUUGUGGUUGACGGUACCAGAUGAAUAAGCACCGGCUAACUCCGUGCCAGCAGCCGCGGUAAUACGGAGGGUGCAAGCGUUAUCCGGAUUCACUGGGUUUAAAGGGUGCGUAGGUGGGUAUGUAAGUCAGUGGUGAAAUCCCCGAGCUUAACUUGGGAACUGCCGUUGAUACUAUAUAUCUUGAAUAUCGCGUAGGUAAGCGGAAUAUGUCAUGUAGCGGUGAAAUGCUUAGAUAUGACAUAGAACACCAAUUGCGAAGGCAGCUUACUUCACGAUUAUUGACACUGAGGCACGAAAGCGUGGGGAGCAAACAGGAUUAGAUACCCUAGUAGUCC